UGCUGGUCCAAAGGUAGUUAUGUCACUUGAUUGUUCACAGUCAGUUACAGAUUGAACUCCUUGUUCUAGUCUUUCCCCUCUUCUCACUGUUGCACUAGACUAGUCUAAA
RNAcentral lists this Y RNA (109 nucleotides) under Prolemur simus (greater bamboo lemur). RNAcentral describes it as "Y RNA (ENSPSMG00000018964.1)". It matches the Rfam family "Y RNA". From Rfam's summary of the family: Y RNAs are components of the Ro ribonucleoprotein particle (Ro RNP), in association with Ro60 and La proteins. The record is from Rfam by way of RNAcentral. Lineage: Eukaryota; Metazoa; Chordata; Mammalia; Primates; Lemuridae.